Molecule: ribosomal RNA, 497 nt
Filed under: uncultured bacterium
Lineage: Bacteria
Description: partial 16S ribosomal RNA
Rfam family: Bacterial small subunit ribosomal RNA
Source: RNAcentral
GAUGAACGCUGGCGGCGUGCCUAAUACAUGCAAGUCGAGCGAACGGACGAGAAGCUUGCUUCUCUGAUGUUAGCGGCGGCCGGGUGAUUAACACGUGGAUAACCUACUUUUAAGAUGGGGAUAAUUUCGGGAAACCGGAGUUAAUACCGGUUAAUAUUUUGAACCCCAUGGUUCAAAAUUGAAAAAGGUCUUGUUUGUCACUUAUGGAUGGAUCCGCGCUGCAUUAGCUAGUUGGUAAGGUAACGGCUUACCAAGGCAACGAGGCAUAGCCGACCUGAGAGGGUGAUCGGCCACACUGGAACUGAGACACGGUCCAGACUCCUACGGGAGGCAGCAGUAGGGAAUCUUCCGCAAUGGGCGAAAGCCUGACGGAGCAACGCCGCGUGAGUGAUGAAGGUCUUCGGAUCGUAAAACUCUGUUAUUAGGGAAGAACAUAUGUGUAAGUAACUGUGCACAUCUUGACGGUACCUAACCAGAAAGCCACGGCUAACUACGUG